RNAcentral lists this non-coding RNA (959 nucleotides) under Chlorocebus sabaeus (green monkey). The record is from Rfam by way of RNAcentral. Lineage: Eukaryota; Metazoa; Chordata; Mammalia; Primates; Cercopithecidae.
AAACAGAUAGGUUUGGUCCUAGCCUUUCUAUUAACUCUUAGCAAGAUUAUACAUGCAAGCAUCCCCAUCCCAGUGAAGACACCCUAUAAAUCACCACGAUCAAAAGGAGUAAGUACCAAGCACGCACGAUGCAGCUCAAAACACUUUGCUCAGCCACACCCCCACGGGAAACAGCAGUGACAAACCUUUAGUAAUAAACGAAAGUUUAACUAAGCAAUGCUACAUUCAGGGUUGGUUAACUUCGUGCCAGCCACCGCAGCCAUAUGAUUAACCCAAGCUAAUAGAGACCGGUGUAAAGAGUGUUUUAGAUCUAGUUCAAUAAAACUAAACUCCAUCUAAAUUGUAAAACCUUAGCUGAUGUAAAAUAAAACACGAAAGUGGCUUUAAAACUUCUGAACACACAGUAACUAAGACUCAAACUGGGAUUAGAUACCCCACUAUGCUAAGCCUUAAACUUCAAUAGUUAAAACAACAGAACUACUCGCCAGAAUACUACAAGCAACAGCUUAAAACUCAAAGGACUUGGCGGUGCUUCACAACCCUCUAGAGGAGCCUGUUCUAUAAUCGAUAAACCUCGAUCCACCCCACCAUCUCUUGCUCAGCCUAUAUACCGCCAUCCUCAGCAAACCCUAAUAAAGUCCACAAAGUAAGCAUAAAUGCUCCCGCAAAAACGUUAGGUCAAGUUGUAGCUUAUGAGAUGGUAAAAAAUGGGUUACAUUUUCUACCCCAGAAAACCCCACGAUAACUCUUAUGAAACCUAAGAGUCCAAGGAGGAUUUAGCAGUAAAUUAAGAAUAGAGUGCUUAAUUGAAUCAGGCCAUAAAACAUGCACACACCGCCCAUCACUCUCCUCAAGUAUAUUUAAGGACUAACUUAACUAAACACCCCUAGCAUUUAUAUAGAGGAGAUAUGUCAUAAUACGGUAAGUGUACUGGAAGGUGCACUUGGAUAAACCAAGGC